This is a long non-coding RNA of Camelina sativa (false flax), 403 nucleotides long. RefSeq lists it as uncharacterized. Lineage: Eukaryota; Viridiplantae; Streptophyta; Magnoliopsida; Brassicales; Brassicaceae. The record is from RefSeq and is a predicted model, not a curated record.
AUCAGAUCUUCUUUUUUUUCUUUUUUUUUUUUUUUUUUUAUUUAUCAUCUCUAAUCAAAGUCCGAAUUUUUAAGUUUCAAAGAAUGGGGAACUAUACAUUCAAGUUAGGAGAUACUUAUGAAGAUAACAGGCAAAGAGCUAUAACCUGUGUUUAUAGUUUUGGAGGAGUUAUUUCUGUAAAAUUUUAUCCACAAAUGAACGCACUACUCGUGUUUGGAGAAGGAUUUGAUGAGACCGAAAUACAGAGGAAGGUAGAUGAGAUUUAUUACCCAAACAAUGAAAAGAGGUGCCCAUGGUGUGAUCAUGUGCUUAAUAAUGAUCAUAUGCUUAAUAAAUCAUUGUUCCAGAUAGCGCUAGACAUUAUGUGGGCGGUGACCCAACGCCUAGCGCCUAAACGCCUAAU